GUAAAAUUGAUGCUCCAAGAAGAUACACAACGUUGACCAUGUGGAUUCAGAUAUCUCCCGCUUGGAUCUCAGCCUGGAUCUUGUUGUUUGAGAAGCAUAGAUUAGCUACAGAAUGCCAUGUCAUACAUCCAAUAAAAUUCAACUCUGCAAGCAUGAGAGAGAAGAGGAAGGAAAAGAGAGAAUCUGAAGUAGUUGGAUCACUAGAGGGCAAUAUCGG
RNAcentral lists this long non-coding RNA (217 nucleotides) under Homo sapiens (human). RNAcentral's name for it is "HSALNT0330527". The record is from RNAcentral. Lineage: Eukaryota; Metazoa; Chordata; Mammalia; Primates; Hominidae.